UGGGGAAUAUUGGACAAUGGGCGCAAGCCUGAUCCAGCAAUGCCGCGUGAGUGAUGAAGGCCUUAGGGUUGUAAAGCUCUUUUUACCCGGGAAGAUAAUGACUGUACCGGGAGAAUAAGCCCCGGCUAACUCCGUGCCAGCAGCCGCGGUAAUACGGAGGGGGCUAGCGUUGUUCAGAAUUACUGGGCGUAAAGCGUACGUAGGCGGCUUUGUAAGUUAGAGGUGAAAGCCCGGGGCUCAACCCCGGAAUUGCCUUUAAGACUGCAUCGCUUGAAUCGCGGAGAGGUGAGUGGAAUUCCGAGUGUAGAGGUGAAAUUCGUAGAUAUUCGGAAGAACACCAGUGGCGAAGGCGGCUCACUGGACGCGUAUUGACGCUGAGGUACGAAAGCGUGGGGAGCAAACAGGAUUAGAUACCCUAGUAGUCCCUGAGCGGGCUGGCAAGGCGCAU
RNAcentral lists this ribosomal RNA (448 nucleotides) under uncultured bacterium. RNAcentral describes it as "bacterial SSU rRNA". It matches the Rfam family "Bacterial small subunit ribosomal RNA", at positions 355 to 825 of the family's 1533-position model. The record is from RNAcentral.